Molecule: long non-coding RNA, 1744 nt
Filed under: Chrysemys picta bellii (western painted turtle)
Lineage: Eukaryota; Metazoa; Chordata; Testudines; Emydidae
Description: lncRNA (ENSCPBG00000007859.1)
Source: RNAcentral
UGGCCGGGAACCAUGGCCAGUGGGAGCUGUGGGGGCGGUGCCUGCAAGCGAGACUGGCGUGUGGAGCCUCCUGGCCCCCGCACCUGGGACCCGGACCUGCUGGCUGCUUCCAGGGUGCGCACAGCGCAAUCAGAGGGGCUGGGAGAGGCUGGGACCCUGCCUUAUCUCCCCCCACCCCAUUGCCCCACUGACCAGGAGCCGCCCGAGGAUUAUUUCCCGGAUUCGUGCCCCAAUCAGAGCUGCCUCCUGCUGGCCAAGAUCCAGGAGGUGAAUCUCGGGCUGCGAAACCUACUGGCCAGCCCUGGAAAGGCUGACCCCCCACCCUGCUUCCCCUCCAGCCGGUUUGGGGGCCCCCUCUUCCAAAUGGGAAAGCAGCAGGAAUUUCAGCAGCAAGCCGUGAACGUGCUGAAGGAGCAGAACCGCCUGCUCAUCAAGGAGGUGUCGGAGAAGAGCGACCGCAUCGCCCAGCUGGAGCAGGAGAAGGCGGCCCUGUGCAGGCAACUCCAGGAGAGCCGGGGCUACCGGCUGUCCAGCCACAAGGAGUCCACCUUCAUCUGAUGGACGAGGUCACUUCCUCCUGCAGACCUACCUGACGAGGUCACUUCCUCCUGCAGACCUACCUGACGAGGUCACUUCCUCUCUCACACCAGCCAGACCCUUCUGAGAGAAAAGACCUAAUUUUCACCCAACACAAUGAUAUCACUUCCUGUCGAUCUCCCAAGGCCAAUGAGGUUAUUUCCUUCUGUCCCACCCCCCCAAUCCACAAUGAAGUCAUUUCCUGCUGGACCUGGAAGGAACUAGCUCACUUCCUCCUCCUGGCCUAUUAUGUAAUUUCCUCCUUCCUGUCAUUGGUCCAUGAUGUCACUCUCCUGAUGGUAUUACAUCAUCUUCAGACUCUGCUGACAUCACUUCCACUUCAGAGCCUUUAGGUGUCACUUCCUCCCGUUCCUCCUGCUCGCCUUUUCUGAUGAUGUCACUGAGGUCUUCACUUCCUGUCCCUUCUUCCUCCAGCCCCUGUGCGGUUUCAUCAUGGUCAAUUCCAACCCCGCCCCACCCUCUGAGGUCACGGCAUUUCUCAUGGACACACGCACACAGCCUGACACAACCACCCCAUGAUGUCACACUCCUGGCUUCCUGUCAUCUGGGAGCCUCCCGAUGACAUCACUUCCCAUUUUGACAGGCUGGUCUCCGAGACUGGGGAGCAGGGGGAAAACAACAGUGAAGAAUUAUGGGUAACAAGAGGGCUAAUAACCGACUGUCCAAAGAGGCUUUCAAUGGGGAAUACCCACAGUGCUUUGCAUCAGCACCAGCAUGACCCUUCACUAUAGAUCUAUGGGAUCCCCACCCCACCCUGCAUCCCCGUCCACUUCCCCUUUGACUCCCCCUCUCCCCCCACACACACCUGUCAACCUUACUUUUACCUGUGUGCAUUUUCAGGGUUCCCUCCCUGACCCCUCUGUGGAGUGUGACACAUUGUCUAUGUCUAAGUGCCCUCUAGUGGCUGGAUUCAGACCUGCACAUGUGUCAUUAGCCCUCUAGAGCUAAAAGCUGAUGGGGAUUCUCCUUCCACCACCUACCUUUACCCACAGCAUCCCUUUGACAACACAUGGCGUGAGCUUUAACCUCCGUGUUAGCCCCCAUCCACCCCCACUUCAGACAAGGGAUGUGGGGGGAAGACGCCUCCAAGAUAUUUAUUCUAAUGGCUGUAAAUAAAUUGAUUAGAAUUAAUAUAAUAAAGUUAUAA